This 23-nucleotide microRNA is filed under the name Pristionchus pacificus. RNAcentral's name for it is "ppc-miR-8343-5p". Lineage: Eukaryota; Metazoa; Nematoda; Chromadorea; Rhabditida; Neodiplogasteridae. The record is from miRBase by way of RNAcentral.
UGGCAAGAACUUCGGCACGGUCU